RNAcentral lists this long non-coding RNA (286 nucleotides) under Nicotiana benthamiana. Its description in RNAcentral is "long non-coding RNA (NBEN_LNC037841)". The record is from RNAcentral. Lineage: Eukaryota; Viridiplantae; Streptophyta; Magnoliopsida; Solanales; Solanaceae.
AAACGGAAUAUUUGCUGAUUUCCCAUCCAAAAAUAACGCAGAUAAUUAAGGUAGAAAAUAGAUUCUUAAUAAAGUGUAGCCUAAAAUAACGCAUAUCUUAAUGGCUUCUAAUUAAUCCCACAUUGAUGUAUCCUCAUAAUUCUUAGGCUAUUCUCAACCGCAAGAUAUUAUUGCAUUUUUUGUGUUAUCUUGGUCUAUUUUUUCGUCCAAAACAGUUACGCCUCAAGCCUUGUGCACAGAAAUCCUUCUUCUCUUCUUUCUGUUUCUUCAUCUUUUCUUGUUUCUU